UACAGAGGGGGCAAGCGUUGUUCGGAAUUACUGGGCGUAAAGGGCGCGUAGGUGGCCUUCUAAGUCGAACGUGAAAUCCCUGGGCUCAACCCAGGAACUGCGUCCGAUACUGGGAGGCUUGAAUCCGGGAGAGGGAUGUGGAAUUCCAGGUGUAGCGGUGAAAUGCGUAGAUAUCUGGAGGAACACCGGUGGCGAAGGCGGCAUCCUGGACCGGUAUUGACGCUGAUGCGCGAAAGCCAGGGGAGCAAACGGG
RNAcentral lists this ribosomal RNA (253 nucleotides) under uncultured bacterium. RNAcentral's name for it is "partial 16S ribosomal RNA". It matches the Rfam family "Bacterial small subunit ribosomal RNA", at positions 524 to 776 of the family's 1533-position model. The record is from RNAcentral.